This 73-nucleotide transfer RNA is filed under the name Camelus bactrianus (Bactrian camel). It matches the Rfam family "tRNA". From Rfam's summary of the family: Transfer RNA (tRNA) molecules are approximately 80 nucleotides in length. Their secondary structure includes four short double-helical elements and three loops (D, anti-codon, and T loops). The record is from Rfam by way of RNAcentral. RNAcentral also lists the same sequence under 1 other name. Lineage: Eukaryota; Metazoa; Chordata; Mammalia; Artiodactyla; Camelidae.
GAGGGUAUGGCUCAACUAGUAGAGUGCAUGCUUAGCAUGCACAAGGUCCUAGGUUCAAUCCCUGGUACCUCCU